GGCUCAGAACGAACGCUGGCGGCGUGCUUAACACAUGCAAGUCGAACGCGAAAGGGACUUCGGUCCUGAGUAAAGUGGCGCACGGGUGAGUAACGCGUGGAUAAUCUACCCAAUGGUCUGGGGUAACAUUUCGAAAGGGGUACUAAUACCGGAUAAGACCACGGAGUCUUUGGACUCUGCGGUAAAAGGUGGGGACCUUCGGGCCCACCGCAAUUGGAUGAGUCCGCGUACCAUUAGCUAGUUGGUAGGGUAAAGGCCUACCAAGGCGACGAUGGUUAGCUGGUCUGAGAGGAUGAUCAGCCACACUGGAACUGAGACACGGUCCAGACUCCUACGGGAGGCAGCAGUGGGGAAUUUUGCGCAAUGGGGGAAACCCUGACGCAGCGACGCCGCGUGAGUGAUGAAGGCCUUCGGGUCGUAAAGCUCUGUCAGAGGGGAAGAAAUGCGGGGUGCUAAUAUCACUUCCGCUUGACGGUACCCUCAAAGGAAGCACCGGCUAACUCCGUGCCAGCAGCCGCGGUAAUACGGAGGGUGCGAGCGUUGUUCGGAAUUAUUGGGCGUAAAGCGCGUGUAGGCGGUUUGUUAAGUCUGAUGUGAAAGCCCCGGGCUCAACCUGGGAAGUGCAUUGGAAACUGGCAGACUUGAAUACGGGAGAGGGUAGUGGAAUUCCUAGUGUAGGAGUGAAAUCCGUAGAUAUUAGGAGGAACACCGGUGGCGAAGGCGGCUGCCUGGACCGAUAUUGACGCUGAGACGCGAAAGCGUGGGGAGCAAACAGGAUUAGAUACCCUGGUAGUCCACGCCGUAAACGAUGAGUACUAGGUGUUGCGGGUAUUGACCCCUGCAGUGCCGCAGCUAACGCAUUAAGUACUCCGCCUGGGAAGUACGGCCGCAAGGCUAAAACU
Molecule: ribosomal RNA, 902 nt
Filed under: uncultured bacterium
Lineage: Bacteria
Description: bacterial SSU rRNA
Rfam family: Bacterial small subunit ribosomal RNA
Source: RNAcentral